This 435-nucleotide ribosomal RNA is filed under the name Inquilinus sp. ORS 1421. RNAcentral's name for it is "bacterial SSU rRNA". It matches the Rfam family "Bacterial small subunit ribosomal RNA", at positions 35 to 518 of the family's 1533-position model. The record is from RNAcentral. Lineage: Bacteria; Pseudomonadati; Pseudomonadota; Alphaproteobacteria; Rhodospirillales; Rhodospirillaceae.
GCUGGCGGCAGGCCUAACACAUGCAAGUCGAACGCUCCGCAAGGGGAGUGGCGCACGGGUGAGUAACACGUGGGAACCUACCUUCUGGUACGGAACAACCAAGGGAAACUUUGGCUAAUACCGUAUACGACCUCCGGGUGAAAGAUUUAUCGCCGGAAGAGGGGCCCGCGUCCGAUUAGGUAGUUGGUGAGGUAACGGCUCACCAAGCCGACGAUCGGUAGCUGGUCUGAGAGGAUGACCAGCCACACUGGGACUGAGACACGGCCCAGACUCCUACGGGAGGCAGCAGUGGGGAAUAUUGGACAAUGGGCGCAAGCCUGAUCCAGCCAUGCCGCGUGAGUGAUGAAGGCCUUCGGGUUGUAAAGCUCUUUCACCCACGACGAUGAUGACGGUAGUGGGAGAAGAAGCCCCGGCUAACUUCGUGCCAGCAGCCGC